This 252-nucleotide ribosomal RNA is filed under the name uncultured bacterium. RNAcentral describes it as "partial 16S ribosomal RNA". It matches the Rfam family "Bacterial small subunit ribosomal RNA", at positions 524 to 776 of the family's 1533-position model. The record is from RNAcentral.
UACGUAGGGGGCAAGCGUUACCCGGAUUCACUGGCGUAAAGCGCGUGUAGGCGGCUGGCCAAGCGUGGUGUGAAAUCUCCGGGCUCAACCCGGAACUGCACUGCGAACUGGCCUGGCUGGAGUGCAGGAGAGGGAUGCGGAAUUCACGGUGUAGCGGUGAAAUGCGUAGAUAUCGUGAGGAACACCAGUGGCGAAGGCGGCAUCCUGGCCUGUAACUGACGCUGAGACGCGAAAGCGUGGGGAGCGAACCGG